Molecule: transfer RNA, 86 nt
Filed under: Candidatus Falkowbacteria bacterium RIFOXYB2_FULL_34_18
Lineage: Bacteria; Candidatus Falkowiibacteriota
Also listed under: 4 other names
Description: tRNA-Tyr
Rfam family: tRNA
About the family: Transfer RNA (tRNA) molecules are approximately 80 nucleotides in length. Their secondary structure includes four short double-helical elements and three loops (D, anti-codon, and T loops). Further hydrogen bonds mediate the characteristic L-shaped molecular structure. tRNAs have two regions of fundamental functional importance: the anti-codon, which is responsible for specific mRNA codon recognition, and the 3' end, to which the tRNAs corresponding amino acid is attached (by aminoacyl-tRNA synthetases). tRNAs cope with the degeneracy of the genetic code in two manners: having more than one tRNA (with a specific anti-codon) for a particular amino acid; and 'wobble' base-pairing, i.e. permitting non-standard base-pairing at the 3rd anti-codon position.
Source: RNAcentral
GGGUCGAUACUCAAGCGGUCAACGAGGGCAGACUGUAAAUCUGCUGGCAUUAGCCUACGUAGGUUCAAGUCCUACUCGGCCCACAA